GACGAACGCUGGUGGCGUGCCUAAUACAUGCAAGUCGAGCGGACCAAAGGGAGCUUGCUCCUGGAGGUUAGCGGCGAACGGGUGAGUAACACGUGGGCAACCUGCCUGUAAGACUGGGAUAACAUCGAGAAAUCGGUGCUAAUACCGGAUAAUAAAAAGAACUGCAUGGUUCUUUUUUGAAAGAUGGUUUCGGCUAUCACUUACAGAUGGGCCCGCGGCGCAUUAGCUAGUUGGUGAGGUAACGGCUCACCAAGGCGACGAUGCGUAGCCGACCUGAGAGGGUGAUCGGCCACACUGGGACUGAGACACGGCCCAGACUCCUACGGGAGGCAGCAGUAGGGGAAUCUUCCGCAAUGGACGAAAGUCUGACGGAGCAACGCCGCGUGAGUGAUGAAGGUUUUCGGAUCGUAAAACUCUGUUGUUAGGGAAGAACAAGUGCCGUUCGAAAGGGCGGCACCUUGACGGUACCUAACGAGAAAGCCACGGCUAACUACGUGCCAGCAGCCGCGGUAAA
RNAcentral lists this ribosomal RNA (514 nucleotides) under uncultured bacterium. RNAcentral's name for it is "bacterial SSU rRNA". It matches the Rfam family "Bacterial small subunit ribosomal RNA", at positions 28 to 524 of the family's 1533-position model. The record is from RNAcentral.